Molecule: long non-coding RNA, 521 nt
Organism: Notothenia coriiceps (black rockcod)
Lineage: Eukaryota; Metazoa; Chordata; Actinopteri; Perciformes; Nototheniidae
Exons: 4
Source: RefSeq, a predicted model, not a curated record
AUUUGUGAUGAUUAGAGACUUAAUUAUGUAUCCGAUUUCCUCUCAGGUUGACCACUUGACAUGUGAGAGCUUGAGGAGUUGUUCCACCUCCAUCCAUUUUCAAGGAUUUGCUCCCUUACUGCCUCCACUUCACCACUUUUCUGAGAAGUCUAUGAUUUGUUGAGUUGACCACCCUAUAUAUGAGAGCCUAAGGAGUUGUUUUCCCUCUGUCCCCUUUUGAGGACCAGCUUUGUCUCCUCCAUCAUUCACUGGGCCACUUUUAGGUCCUGAGCUUAUUUCAUGUGGUUUUCCUGACCUGCUAGAAGCUCUUCUAUGAUGCUUGAGUCAUCCAUCAUAUCUGAGAGCUUCGUCUUGACUUUGUCACGAAUUUGGUGAGGAGUGGAGCUGGCUGGCUGCGGACGAGAAAGUAUAGAGCAAUACAUACUUGUGCACAUACACGUAUAUGAGAAUGCAUAUCUAUUCAGACCUGUAACCCAUGUCUUAGACUUUUCACACAGCUAUAUAUAUAUAUUUUUUUUCCA